GGGAUAGAAGCUCAGUGGUUGAGCAAUCGAUUGCAGCUUUCUGCGUGAUUUCAGUAGCGCAAAUCUUACGUAAUCGAUAGGCCGCGUGUUCGAUCCACGCCUGUCCCU
Molecule: non-coding RNA, 108 nt
Organism: Ceratobasidium sp. AG-Ba
Lineage: Eukaryota; Fungi; Basidiomycota; Agaricomycetes; Cantharellales; Ceratobasidiaceae
Source: the annotation of a GenBank genome assembly